This 138-nucleotide ribosomal RNA is filed under the name Gambusia affinis (western mosquitofish). Its description in RNAcentral is "5.8S ribosomal RNA (ENSGAFG00000016435.1)". It matches the Rfam family "5.8S ribosomal RNA". From Rfam's summary of the family: 5.8S ribosomal RNA (5.8S rRNA) is a component of the large subunit of the eukaryotic ribosome. It is transcribed by RNA polymerase I as part of the 45S precursor that also contains 18S and 28S rRNA. The record is from Rfam by way of RNAcentral. Lineage: Eukaryota; Metazoa; Chordata; Actinopteri; Cyprinodontiformes; Poeciliidae.
AACUCUUAGCGGUGGAUCACUCGGCUCGUGCGUCGAUGAAGAACGCAGUAGCUGCAAGAACUAAUGUGAUUUGCAGGAUGUGAUAUAGAUAGAUCUAUAUAUAGAUAGAUCUAUCUAUCUAUAUAUAGAUAUAUAUCU